GAGUCCUUGGGGGGGGGGAGUCUGCACCGCCUAGGGUAAAUAGGGAAAAUAUGUACCGGGUUUUUGGUGCCCGAAAAGAAGGGCAGCURUYACUASAGAUGGGCCUGCGGCGCAUUAGCUAGUUGGUGGGGUAACGGCCUACCAAGGCRACGAUGCGUAGCCGACCUGAGAGGGUGACCGGCCACACUGGGACUGAGACACGGCCCAGACUCCUACGGGAGGCAGCAGUAGGGAAUUUUCCACAAUGGACGAAAGUCUGAUGGAGCAACGCCGCGUGAACGAUGAAGGCUCUCGGGUCGUAAAGUUCUGUUGUUAGGGACGAACAAGUGCCGUUCGAAUAGGGCGGCACCUUGACGGUACCUAACGAGAAAGCCACGGCUAACUACGUGCCAGCAGCCGCGGUAAUACGUAGGUGGCAAGCGUUGUCCGGAAUUAUUGGGCGUAAAGCGCGCGCAGGCGGUUAUGUAAGUCUGAUGUUAAAGCCCGGGGCUCAACCUCGGUCCGCAUGAAACUGUGUAACUUGAGUGCAGAAGAGGAAAGUGGUAUUCCACGUGUAGCGGAAAUGCGUAGAGAUGUGGAGGAACACCAGGCGAAGGCGACUUCUCUGUAAC
RNAcentral lists this ribosomal RNA (611 nucleotides) under Brevibacillus fluminis. Its description in RNAcentral is "bacterial SSU rRNA". It matches the Rfam family "Bacterial small subunit ribosomal RNA", at positions 121 to 740 of the family's 1533-position model. Lineage: Bacteria; Bacillati; Bacillota; Bacilli; Caryophanales; Paenibacillaceae. The record is from RNAcentral.